GACGAACGCUGGCGGCGUGCUUAACACAUGCAAGUCGAACGGAAAGGCCCUGCUUUUGUGGGGUGCUCGAGUGGGGAAAGGGUGAGUAACACGUGAGUAACCUGCCCUUGGCUUUGGGAUAAAUUCAGGAAACUGGGGCUAAUACCGGAUAGGAGCUCCUGCUGCAUGGUGGGGGUUGGAAAGUUUCGGCGGUUGGGGAUGGACUCGCGGCUUAUCAGCUUGUUGGUGGGGUAGUGGCUUACCAAGGCUUUGACGGGUAGCCGGCCUGAGAGGGUGACCGGCCACAUUGGGACUGAGAUACGGCCCAGACUCCUACGGGAGGCAGCAGUGGGGAAUAUUGCACAAUGGGCGGAAGCCUGAUGCAGCAACGCCGCGUGCGGGAUGACGGCCUUCGGGUUGUAAACCGCUUUCGCCUGUGACGAAGCGUGAGUGACGGUAAUGGGUAAAGAAGCACCGGCUAACUACGUG
This 468-nucleotide ribosomal RNA is filed under the name uncultured bacterium. RNAcentral's name for it is "partial 16S ribosomal RNA". It matches the Rfam family "Bacterial small subunit ribosomal RNA", at positions 28 to 507 of the family's 1533-position model. The record is from RNAcentral.